UGCACUUUAGUAUAAUUGUAUAUAAUUUUUUGGUAAUUAAGGAGGUGAAUAUUUGCACCAGGUGCAG
This 67-nucleotide transfer RNA is filed under the name Chrysochares punctatus. RNAcentral describes it as "tRNA-Gln". Lineage: Eukaryota; Metazoa; Arthropoda; Insecta; Coleoptera; Chrysomelidae. The record is from RNAcentral.